Molecule: non-coding RNA, 816 nt
Organism: Paramuricea clavata
Lineage: Eukaryota; Metazoa; Cnidaria; Anthozoa; Malacalcyonacea; Plexauridae
Source: the annotation of a GenBank genome assembly
GCUGCUAAUUGCCAAUAUCUCACUGGUAGGAAUCUGCUAAUUGCCAAUAUCUCACCGGUAGGAAUCUGCUAAUUCCCAAUGUCAGACCGGGGGGGGGGGUGAGGAUAAUAAAUGGAAUGAUUAUGAUUCUCAUAAUAAAUAUUUGGCAAUAUAGUAUGCUACACCUCGACGGCAAUAUCUGACCGGUAGGAAUCGGGCCGAAGGAAUCUGCUAAUUCCCAAUAUCUGACCAGUAGGAAUCCCCUAAGUCCUAAUAUCUGACCGGUAGGAAUCCGCUCAUCCAUAGGGGGGGUGCGGAUAAUAAAUGGAAUGACCCAUCCACAUCGCUGCCGUCGAACGAUGAGCACAACAUAUUAAUUGUCAACAUAUGGCGUUAUUCAAGCGUGUCCUGUUCAUAGCGAUCGAUAUCAUUGUGUUACGACUGCUUGUUAUGAAUUGCAUUAUAAAACGCGUCAAUGAUCUACAUGAUAUUUAAUCAGGUAAAAUACAUACAUAUUUCCAUUUCACAGAAUGACAUAUUAUUAAGAACGUCAACAUCGUCGAAAUCCUCGAUUUUCCCCUCUGUUCGUCGCUGCUUUCGGCCAUGACUGCCCUGAAGUAUCACAAAUACUCUACCAUACACGGGACAAUAGUUUUGGGAUAGGAUGGUUCAUAUUUCACGAAGAUUUUUAAGGAUUGAAAACCGAUACCCGGGAAACGUCACUUAUGCCCAGGAACCGACUAUUAUUCAGCAGGCCUUUCGUCGCCUUCCGUUCUUCCUUGAUCUCAAAUUUCACGCCCGCAAAUUAUUCCCGCCCGCAUCGAAAGGCCUGCGGAG